UACGUAGGGUGCAAGCGUUAAUCGGAAUUACUGGGCGUAAAGCGUGCGCAGGCGGUUAUGUAAGACAGUUGUGAAAUCCCCGGGCUCAACCUGGGAACUGCAUCUGUGACUGCAUAGCUAGAGUACGGUAGAGGGGGAUGGAAUUCCGCGUGUAGCAGUGAAAUGCGUAGAUAUGCGGAGGAACACCGAUGGCGAAGGCAAUCCCCUGGACCUGUACUGACGCUCAUGCACGAAAGCGUGGGGAGCAAACGAGGAU
Molecule: ribosomal RNA, 256 nt
Filed under: uncultured bacterium
Lineage: Bacteria
Description: partial 16S ribosomal RNA
Rfam family: Bacterial small subunit ribosomal RNA
Source: RNAcentral